RNAcentral lists this unclassified non-coding RNA (353 nucleotides) under soil metagenome. RNAcentral's name for it is "partial contains 5.8S ribosomal RNA, internal transcribed spacer 2, and large subunit ribosomal RNA". The stretch from base 1 to 120 matches the Rfam family "5.8S ribosomal RNA", at positions 35 to 154 of the family's 154-position model. The record is from RNAcentral.
GAUGAAGAACGUAGCGAAAUGCGAUAAGUAAUGUGAAUUGCAGAAUUCAGUGAAUCAUCGAAUCUUUGAACGCACAUUGCGCCCGCCAGUAUUCUGGCGGGCAUGCCUGUCCGAGCGUCAUUUCAACCCUCGAACCCCUCCGGGGGGUCGGCGUUGGGGAUCGGCCCUUUCACCGGGUGCCGGCCCCUAAAUACAGUGGCGGUCUCGCCGCAGCCUCUCAUGCGCAGUAGUUUGCACCCUCGCACCGGGAGCGCGGCGCGUCCUCGUCCGUAAAACACCCCAAACUUCUGAAAUGUUGACCUCGGAUCAGGUAGGAAUACCCGCUGAACUUAAGCAUAUCAAUAAGCGGAGGA